UGCCUGACUCCGACCCACCCAGGACGGGGGCGGGGGACCCAUCUCCCGGCGCGCCGCGCGCGCCUUGGGGUGAAGCCGCACCGUGCGUUCCACGGCACGGCGGCCGGGCACCGAUUCGCCCGAACCCGACAGCUCACCUCGUCGGCGGUGAUCGGAGGAUCA
RNAcentral lists this small RNA (162 nucleotides) under Blastococcus sp. RNAcentral's name for it is "c-di-AMP sequence". It matches the Rfam family "c-di-AMP riboswitch aptamer (ydaO/yuaA leader)". From Rfam's summary of the family: This family represents a conserved RNA structure found upstream of the ydaO and yuaA genes in Bacillus subtilis and related genes in other bacteria. The ydaO/yuaA element is thought to act as a genetic "off" switch for the ydaO and yuaA genes in its native state. It is believed that the element may be triggered during osmotic shock leading to activation of ydaO, a predicted amino acid transporter gene, and members of the yuaA-yubG operon which code for KtrA and KtrB K+ transporters. Lineage: Bacteria; Bacillati; Actinomycetota; Actinomycetes; Geodermatophilales; Geodermatophilaceae. The record is from RNAcentral. RNAcentral also lists the same sequence under 1 other name.